RNAcentral lists this long non-coding RNA (6236 nucleotides) under Xyrichtys novacula (pearly razorfish). Lineage: Eukaryota; Metazoa; Chordata; Actinopteri; Labriformes; Labridae. The record is from RNAcentral.
CGGUUCGGAGAGAAAAGUGUUUUUUUUUGGUUAAAGUGGAAGAACUUUGACUGGAAAUACAAAUGUGGAUGUGAAGUUUGGAUUAAGAUAGUUUAUCUGGUACAAUAACAUUGAAUUACCCGUAAAAGUGGUUAAAUUUCACUUUUUUUUUUGCGUUUUAGUGAAUAUUGACGGAAAUUUCGGGCCUUCUGGUGUCACCGCCGGUAAAGUUUGGUAAGUUUCCAUAAAAAAUCACUCUUUUUUACCGUAAUUUUGUAACUUUUAUUGGUCUUUUUUAGCUGUAUGAGUAUUAAAGUCACUGUUUAAAGACAGGCCAGCUGAAAAAGUUGCCUCCUGAUUCAAGAGAAUUUCCUAGAAACUCCAUUUGCAGUCAUUUUAUAUUUAAUAGUCAUUUGUAUUUGACACAGGGGAGAGUUGGGUAAGUUGAUCCACCCCCUGUUGUUUGGAAAUGGUCAAAGAAAUUGAUCAUAAGACCAAAUAUUGAGGAGAUGGUCAUCAAUUCAUGGAGUCUGUGAAGGUUAGAAGCUCAUGGGUGAAGAAGAGGUUAGACAUUUAUUUAUAAAACAACAUUUUUCUUCACUCUGUAAAGUGAAUUUAGUCUGUUAGAAGUUUGAUUAGAAUUGUGUUCAGACCAAAAAAGAUCAUUUUAAAUGUGUUUUAUACAUCAACUGUGGUAUUUAUGACAUAAAAGUCCACCAUUUUAUCUCAGAGGACUAAUAAAGUCAUCAUAGUAGUUCAGGGGGAGCAGAGAAAGUAAAGGAGUCAGAGGAGAGGAUCAGAGUUUACCUUCAGAUUAAUGAAAUGUUUGACUUUUUCUUUUUAAAAAUACAGAUCUGUGAAUGUUCUCAAUCACUUAAAGACAUUCUCAUGUGACCAUAGGAGACCACUUUUUUUUGUCCUGCUAUAUUCUGAAGAUGACAGUUCUGUUUACACUCAUUCUGUUGGUUUGCAGGGAUGAACAACAUCCUGAAAUAUCUACAGAGACACGAGUUAAAGACUAAACUAGGAUUGACUUGAUAUAGUGAUCUGAAAUAUGAAAAAUGGAUCACCUUACCCCAUUCUCACCCAUAAACAACAAGGCAAAGAAGAUUUUUCAUUAAUUAGAGCCAGGAUAAUGAAACACUAACUUAAACAUGAUAUGGAUUACGUGGAUUAAAUGGAAUUUCCCUCAGUGGGACCAAUAAAGGUAUAUCUUGUCUUAUCUUAUCUUAGUUGAAAGCAUAGUUUUAAAGUGAAAAUGAUAGAGGAGUCGUCAUUAAGUCUACUUGGCUUAAUUUUAUUUCAUUUAUUUUGCUCUUUGAGCCUUUUAAGGACCAUCUUCUCCUCUAAAUCCUCUAAUAUGACUGAAACACUUUUUAUUUAUCUAAUCGUGGAGGCCCAGAUGAAGUGAGCUGUCAGGUUAGAGCGCCACAUUAUAAACGUAAUAACAGUUUAAGGAUAUAAUCCAUCACUGCUGUUCUGUGUCAGAUCAAGCAGAAGAGAAAGGAGGAAAAAAAAAGAGAGGAUCCGUCUGCGUGGGUCAUCGUUUUUCACCGCAUUAGGAGACAAAUAAUUGGUCAUUCAUCAAUAGCAAAUAGACCAAAGCAGAAAUGACUGAUCGCCGUUACAACAAAAAUUGGGAUGAUGAUGGAGCUGUGUGGUCAGCGGAGCAGAGAGGAGAGCGGACAGAGGGAAGGAGGGAGGGGAGGAGGAAAUAGGAAACAGGAGGAGGACGAGAAGGGAAGAAGGGAUGCUGGGUAUGAAGGAAGAAGUUAAAGACACUCAGGGUUUUCCUGCUCCGGGUUUCAAUAACGGAAUAAAUGUAAUUUUCCCAAAAAAAGUAUUAUUCUGCAGAUGGAGAAGUUUAAUCUGAUUCUCCUCACAGCGUCUCAGCAGUGCAGAGAGACAGAAAACAGAUCUGUGACCUUCUAGAGUCCUCCUCAUCUUUGAUUCUAGUUAAAACUUGUGCAUAUGGUUCUAUUUUCAACAUUUAUUACAUCCAGUUUUUAAGUCUGAGAGGAUUAACUUUUCCAGAGUCUGAGGAUCCCUCUGACGGCCUCCACGUUUGUCACUGCAGUGUUCGUUAUUUUUUAAUAGUACAGAAAAGAAACAAGUGUAGGUUUGAGGAUAAAGUUUUCACUUAAUAGAUGAACUCAUCUUUUAUUUUAGGAAACUUGUCUCCACUCCUAAAGCGCUGGAUUCUCUUGAACAUAUUCCCCAGUAUUUGUCGUUUGUUUCUCCUCCUCUUGUUCGGUCCGUCUGCUCGGACAUUGACCACCUUUCCGGUCGUGAUGGAUCGCCUCAACCUGAUAAUCCUGCACAGUUGCAGGAUGCGAACUCGCUACAAUCCUGGUAUUGAUCUCUGGUGAAACACAGAUCCUCAGUCUGAUUACCUCCUCGCUGAGACUGACGGAGCCUUUUCUGUCUGCAGCUAUCAGAGCUCGUCCUCAGGGAUUGUUCUGGAGGAGGUUUGAGGUUCAAACCAGGUCAAAAAUAAGAAGUUAACUUACCCCAUACUUUCUAAAACCUGAACUGAACAGCCUCUGACACGGAUUAAAGUUACAUUUAUGAAGUUUUCUCAGGAUCAUGCCGCAUGAGCAUGUUGUGAGAUCAGUUCUAGCAGCAAACAGUUUUUUUUUUCAUAAUCAUAAAUAUCAAACAUUUAAAACUCAAAGCAAAGCUGCACAGUUUUAAAAUGAUUUAAUUUAACAAGUUUAGCAAAUAUUUUUCUCCACAGGUUUCCUGCUCUGUGGCUGCUGAUGGACAGGAGUGAUGUGUGGCGUCUUCAUGGCGUGGGGAUCAAUCGUGUGGGUUGUAUGUAAGUAAAGUGACGAUCCCGCUCUCUGCAAAACACACAAACAAGAUAAAACAAAAGAUCCAAUCGGUUCUUCAGUUAAAGGGGAAAAAAUGUAAAAUGUUCAUGCAGGGUCAGUGUCACACUGUCUUUCUCCUUCUCCUCAAUCCUUGUCUCCUCUGUCCUAGCCUAGGUGUAAUGCACUCUCCCUUAGAGAUCUCGCCCUCUCUCGUCUCAUCUACUCUCCUCUGUCCUUGCCUCCUCUGUCCUGUGUUCCUCCUUAAAGAUCAUGCCCUCUUCCCUUUCCUCUCCUCUAUCCUUGUCUCCUCUGUCCUUGCCUAGGUGUCAUGCAGACUUCCUCAGAGAUCUCGCCCUCUCCCAUCUCAUCACCUCUCCUCUGUCCUGUGUUUUUCCUCAGAGAUCUAGCCUUCUAUCCCCUUUCCUCCAUCCUUGUCUCCUCUGUCCUUGGCUCCUCUGUCCUGUGUUUUUCCUCAGAGAUCUAGCCUUCUAUCCCCUUUCCUCCAUCCUUGUCUCCUCUGUCCUUGGCUCCUCUGUCCUGUGUUUUUCCUCAGAGAUCUAGCCUUCUAUCUCCUCAACUCUUUCCUUGUCUCCUCUGUCCUUGUCUCCUCUGUCCUUGCCUAGGUGUCAUGCAGACUUCCUCAGAGAUCUCGCCCUCUUCCCUCUCUUCUCCUCUAUCCUUGUCUCCUCUGUCCUGGCCUAGGUGUCGUGCAGACUUCCUCAGAGUUCUCACCCUCUCCCGUCUCAUCACCUCUCCUCGGUCCUUGGCUCCUCUGUCCUGUGUUCCUCCUUAAAGAUCAUGCCCUCUUCCCUUUCCUCUCCUCUAUCCUUGUCUCCUCUGUCCUUGCCUAGGUGUCAUGCAGACUUCCUCAGAGAUCUCGCCCUCUCCCAUCUCAUCACCUCUCCUCUGUCCUGUGUUUUUCCUCAGAGAUCUAGCCUUCUAUCUCCUCAACUCUUUCCUUGUCUCCUCUUACCUUGUCUCCUCUGUCCUUGCCUAGGUGUCAUGCAGACUUCCUCAGAGAUCUCGCCCUCUUCCCUCUCUUCUCCUCUAUCCUUGUCUCCUCUGUCCUUGCCUAGGUGUCGUGCAGACUUCCUCAGAGUUCUCACCCUCUCCCGUCUCAUCACCUCUCCUCGGUCCUGUGUUCUUCCUCAGAGAUCUCACCCUCUAUUUCCUCUCCUCUCUCCUUGCCUCCUCUGUCCUUGCCUAGGUGUCAUGCAGACUUCCUCAGAGAUCUCGCCCUCUCCCGUCUCGUCUCCUCUCCUCUGUGACUCCUCUGAUUCGGCUCACUCUCUCCUUCCUGAGUAAUUGAAGUAAUUUCCCACCUUGGCUAUGAUGAAUGUGUCCCGCGCUCUCGCCGUGCCCUUCUACUUUAGCCGGCCUAAUUAAAGAAAACAUUUCAUGAUUGCCUAUUUUUCCUCGAGCGUGACAACCUAUUAUUCUGCCCAGCACCUGAUUAGAGACUUAUUAUGCUUAGAUUUAGAUUGAUUUAACCGGGCAGCCUAAUAAAAGACUACUUGGGCUUUGAAUUGCAGGUUUUGGAGCCGGUCACGGUGUGAAAUUGUUAUUACUGCUUCAUGAUUCGGUUCUGUGGCAGGGAGGGGAAGGGAGGGGACUUCUUCUCCAAAUUGAAUUAGAAAAUUAGAAGGUCAGUGGGCGUACAACAGGUGACAUUUUGGGACGUCCUCGCUGCAAUAGAGCUGUCAGGAGGAGGGACAAUCGGGCGCAGAUUUGUCCGCAAUGAUAAAUCACAUCCAUCAGCGGCUGCAGAAAGUGACAUAUUUCUAUCAAAGCAAGAUUAAUCUCUCUAUCAGACGCAGCAACGCGCCUCAUAAUCAUCUGCGAAGACUGGAUGCAAAAUGGGUAAAGUGACUGUUUGUGUUUUGCUGCGGAGUUUCUGACAUCCUGAUAAAAACUGAAUGAGAAGAUAAAGACGCUCAGAGCAGCAGCUGGAGUCCCACGUCUUAAAGCUCUGACUAAUUGUCGUCAAUGAAUUCUUUGAUGAAUGCAGGAGAAAGUCCGUGUUAAAUUUUUCUUAUUUUACCGAAUUGAAACUCUGCCACUAGAUUUUUAGAGCCCUUAUAAACAUUCGUGAUCUGGUUUGUGAGAAGGCCAAAACAAGCUUUCUUUCUAAUGAUAAGUCUGAUAAUGUUUAAAAAGGUGUUUUAAUUAGGUGCCAGGUAAAUUAGACUCAUUAGGCUCAAUUUUACAGUGCAGAGCUGCAUAAACAUGAGUCUUUAUUAAAGAAGUCUGAUAAAAAAAAACUAAAAACCUGCACGUUUAGAGACGCGUGCUUUUAAAAGUUUUAGAUUUUAUGAGUUUGAAACAGAUUUUUAAAGAGAUUUGAUGAUUUCUACAGUUUUUAAAUGUUUUAAGAUUUGUUUGCACAUAGAAGGUGAAAAAUAAAAAUCUGGACUGUUAAGGGAUGUAAUUUAAACUCCACAAUCAACCUUUCCAAGAAGACGUUCCCUCCUUUUUCCCUUUUUUGACACUCUUGGAAGGUCAAAGGUCAGGUUUAGCCCCACAUCAGCAGCUCCGUUUUGCUGUUAAAGUCGAAAGGUGAUGCAUCGACCGUAUAAAGUUUGAUUCCUACCUGCUUCAGCUGAAACCUGACGACUCUCCGCUCCUCACGUCUCGUUAUCAUGACUGCACUUUGUGACGCGGCUGAGCAGCGUGUUGAUAAAUGACGCGAUUAGAACUAAAAUGAACAAUUUGACUCGGGCCAACGCCGUCUGAAUCAGGCCCAUCGUUCUGGUGUGAACUCCAGCGGAGUCUGUGUGCGUGUGUGUUGGAUUAUUGGCAGUCACUCCUUCACUGUCACUCUGAGUAAUGUCUGAGGACUGUGCUGCACAUUAUAACUGCGCAGACACUCUGAUGUAUGGAUGAUUAAAGACUGAUGGCUGUGUGUACAGAUACUGUAGGUGAAUGAAGAGAUGUUUCAAACACACUGAGUCGUUUUCUCGUUGAAGAAGAUGGAUGUAAUAAGAAUCUAAUUCAUUGAUCAGUUUCAGAGACCAUGUUUCAUCCUGACGGGAGACACGAAACAAACCUCUGCUCAAGUCGAACAGUGACACUUUAAUAUUGAUGAUGAAAGUGGGAAUAUUUACUUUUGCUUUUGUUGCACUUUUCUAAACAAACUCAAAGUGCAGUUUAUCAUAUCGUGGUAUAAACCCAUUGCAUUGUAUUAAUUAUAUCGUAUCCUGUUGAAAAUAUAUUUUACUGCUCUGAUGGCGCUGCACCACACCACACUAGGUUAUAUCCCUCUGUACGGUGGCCGCGAGCUGCCACUGCUGCAGAUAAAAAAGAAUGCGAAAGCUCACUUCUGUUGUGGCUUUUUUGAUUUGCAACCUUUUAUUUUCGCAGUGAGUAACUUUUUUUUUUUCCAUCGCCCCUUUUUAUUUGUGUCGUUAACUUCCGUUGUGGCUUUUUUUAAUACCUGCACUGUUU